UAAGGAAUAUUGGUCAAUGGACGAAAGUCUGAACCAGCCAUGCCGCGUGGAGGAUGAAGGUCCUCUGGAUUGUAAACUUCUUUUAUAUGGGACGAAAAAAGGCUUUUCCAGGUCGUCUGACGGUACCAUAUGAAUAAGCACCGGCUAACUCCGUGCCAGCAGCCGCGGUAAUACGGAGGGUGCAAGCGUUAUCCGGAUUCACUGGGUUUAAAGGGUGCGUAGGUGGGUUAGUAAGUCAGUGGUGAAAUCCCCGAGCUUAACUUGGGAACUGCCAUUGAUACUAUUAAUCUUGAAUACCGUGGAGGUCAGCGGAAUAUGUCAUGUAGCGGUGAAAUGCUUAGAUAUGACAUAGAACACCAAUUGCGAAGGCAGCUGGCUACGCGAAUAUUGACACUGAGGCACGAAAGCGUGGGGAUCAAACAGGAUUAGAUACCCUGGUAGUCCACGCCCUAAACUAUGGAUACUCGACAUCAGCGAUACACUGUUGG
This 488-nucleotide ribosomal RNA is filed under the name uncultured Bacteroidota bacterium. RNAcentral describes it as "bacterial SSU rRNA". It matches the Rfam family "Bacterial small subunit ribosomal RNA", at positions 355 to 843 of the family's 1533-position model. The record is from RNAcentral. Lineage: Bacteria; Pseudomonadati; Bacteroidota.